RNAcentral lists this ribosomal RNA (481 nucleotides) under uncultured bacterium. RNAcentral describes it as "partial 16S ribosomal RNA". It matches the Rfam family "Bacterial small subunit ribosomal RNA", at positions 28 to 523 of the family's 1533-position model. The record is from RNAcentral.
GACGAACGCUGGCGGCGUGCUUAACACAUGCAAGUCGAACGGUGAAAGGGAGCUUGCUCCCUGGAUCAGUGGCGAACGGGUGAGUAACACGUGGGCAACCUGCCCCAGACUUCGGGAUAACGCUUCGAAAGAGGUGCUAAUACCGGAUACGAACUCCUUGGGCACCCUUGGAGUUGGAAAGUUUUUCGGUCUGGGAUGGGCCCGCGGCCUAUCAGCUUGUUGGUGAGGUAACGGCUCACCAAGGCGACGACGGGUAGCCGGCCUGAGAGGGCGACCGGCCACACUGGGACUGAGACACGGCCCAGACUCCUACGGGAGGCAGCAGUGGGGAAUAUUGCGCAAUGGGCGAAAGCCUGACGCAGCAACGCCGCGUGAGGGAUGAUGGCCUUCGGGUUGUAAACCUCUUUCAGCAGGGAAGAAGCGAAAGUGACGGUACCUGCAGAAGAAGCACCGGCUAACUACGUGCCAGCCGCCGCCGUAA